GAGAGACUCAAGCAGACUCUCUGCUGAGUGCAGAGCCAGUGCAGGCAGGGCUGGAUCUUGCGACCCUGACGUCACAACUUGAGCCUAAAUCAAGAGUCAGAGACUUAACCGACUGAGCCACCCCAGUGCCCCUCGAAUAUAUUAUUUCUAAAACAUUUUAAUAUUGUUUCAUUUAUUAAUAGGGAAACAAGGAAAAAUUAUGAGUAACUAAAAAUCUCUUCACACAGCUACAUACACUAAUAAUAUCAAUAAUUAGGAAUAGCUUAACAAUGAGAAAUCUUGACCAGAAAACUUUGCUAAACACUAUAGAUAUAGUUUUAUAGCAAUAGUGACAGCAGGGAUUUCUUUUAAGGUGGUGUUUUAACCCCAUCUCUAUCCUAAAGGUUUUGGAAAGAACAAAAGCUUUUGCAUGGUUCACGAAGUGAUUUUGAGAUGUUUUUGAAAAGCAAGCAGCGUAUGUUUUUCCCUCUUUGGAACUGGACCUGAGACCACAGGAACAUGAGUGGAGCCCCAGGUCUUUCAUGACUGUGCAUCUCCAAUGACUCUCCUGCUGGGACCCUAAUAGGAUUUAUUCCCCUUACACCUUCAUCUGCUCUGGCUCCUCAUGCUGUUCUAUGGUGUGAAUGAUGAGCACGAGGACUUGCGUGGCCUGCAGUUGUCCUGGUGUCUUCGCCUUCCUGUCCAGGUGUGGAUGCAAGACAGGUGAAACGGCAUGAUGAGAUGCCUUCAUCAUAAGCAAAGUCUGUUUCCCCAUUCCUUGACUUCGGACUUGGCCACGUGGUGUGCUUUGAAUGGUACAUGGGCAGAUUCUUGGCUCCAGAAGGAGGAUGAGAGACAUACGGAGGAGAGCCACCCUUGCCCCUAUAGACAGAGCAGCUAUAAACUGAAGCAGAACUACCCAGCUGAGGCCAGACUAAAUCGACCAAACUCCAGCCAACCUGCAGACGUGUGAUACGUAUAUAACGUUAUAUGUAUCCAUCUGUAUCUAUGUGUGGUAUUUACAUAGAAUAUGUAUAAUUAUAUGUUAUGCAUUAUGUAGACGUCACUGUUUUAAGUCACUGCAACUGAAGGGUGACUUGUUAAGCAGCAGUUGCUCACCGGUGCAGUCCAUCGGUGGCACGUGUAUGUGGUACCAAACUGUGCCGCUGUUGCCAGGGAUGGUACCAUCUGUACUUACAGGCAUGGAAAGAUGUCGACUCAAUAUUGUAAAGUGAAAGAAAUCAGAUUUCAGAACACAGCCUGCCUAGGUACGAUUUCACACACACAGAUACAAGAAUGGAGGUUUUGGUUAUUUCUGGAGGGUGGGGAUCAGGAUUUUUUUUUUCUUUUCUCUGUAGUUUUGUAUAUUGCUUUUCAUUUUUUUUUAAGAUUUUAUUUAUUCAUUUGCGUGAGAGACAGAGUGCU
This is a long non-coding RNA of Ailuropoda melanoleuca (giant panda), 1404 nucleotides long. RefSeq lists it as uncharacterized. Lineage: Eukaryota; Metazoa; Chordata; Mammalia; Carnivora; Ursidae. The transcript is spliced from 3 exons. The record is from RefSeq and is a predicted model, not a curated record.